AAUUUUUCCUUGAAAGUUACAGGAGUUUUUCAGUAUAUUCCAUGAAUACUAGAUUCAAGUUCUAAAUCUGCCUGUAUUAUUUUGGUAAUUUAAUUUAAGGCUUUUUAGAUAAUAUAAAACCAGAUUCUACAAAGAGACAAUCUUUAAGAAUGUGAAUACAUUGAUUGAGCUCCAAUAAAGUAGAUUUCUGAGAAUAUUAACUAUGUAUGUUUGCAGAAAAAAGCAAAAUAAAAUAAAAUAAAAUAAAAUAAAAUAAAAUAAAAUAAAAUAAAAUAAAAUAAAAUAAUAAAAAACCUCAUUGACUAACUUGGUUAUGAAUGUACUUUUUCAUAAUUACAGCUCAAAAAAUAGUCCUGAUCACAUGCUCUAGCACUCUCACAAGCUAAUCCAGCAUAGGUAUUCCUUUAAAAUGGACAGUGAUAGAUCUCUUUUCUUAAGAUAGAAAAGGUGAAGUCAAUGUCAGCAAUGUCACUGUAGAACUUCAGAGCAUUUAUGAAUCCAUUUGAAAAACCCAAGCAGACUCUCGGUUUGCUACAGGCAGCAUGAAAAUACUGGGAAAAGCAAAGUGUGCAAUGAUAUCAGAGCCAAGUGAACAAUGCAGAAACGGAUCCUGGGUGCCUGGAUCUCUAACCAUGACUGCAAAGCACAAAGGCUAUGUCAAAGCAUUCAUGGAUAGACUCCCCUACAUGGCUGCUAAAGAAAUUUGGAAUCAUGAGAGCAGGACUAGCCUUUUCCCAAGGGGCUGGAGAGACCUUUGCCUGAAGGCACCUGAGAUCUGGAGAAUAGCCUCCAAUAGUCUUGGAGAAUUGACAGAGGCCUCUGGGGUGCCCUGCUUAGCUGCUUUGAGGUAA
This 851-nucleotide long non-coding RNA is filed under the name Anas platyrhynchos platyrhynchos (common mallard). RNAcentral describes it as "lncRNA (ENSAPLG00000024235.1)". The record is from RNAcentral. Lineage: Eukaryota; Metazoa; Chordata; Aves; Anseriformes; Anatidae.